GACGAACGCUGGCGGCGUGCUUAACACAUGCAAGUCGAACGGAAAGGCCCUGCUUUUGUGGGGUGCUCGAGUGGCGAACGGGUGAGUAACACGUGAGUAACCUGCCCUUGACUUUGGGUUAACUUCAGGAAACUGGGGCUAAUACCGUAUAGGAGCUCCUGCUGCAUGGUGGGGGUUGGAAAGUUUCGGCGGUUGGGGAUGGACUCGCGGCUUAUCAGCUAGUUGGUGGGGUAGUGGCUUACCAAGGCUUUGACGGGUAGCCGGCCUGAGAGGGUGAACGGCCACAAUGGGACUGGGAUACGACCCAGACGACUACGGGAGGCAGCAGUGGGGAAUAUUGCACAAGGGGCGGAAGCAUGAUGCAGCAAAGCCGCGUGCGGGAUGACGGCCUUCGGGUUAUAAACCGCUUUCGCCUGAGACGAAGCGUGAGUGACGGUAAUGGGUAAAGAAGCACCGGCUAACUACGUG
Molecule: ribosomal RNA, 468 nt
Filed under: uncultured bacterium
Lineage: Bacteria
Description: partial 16S ribosomal RNA
Rfam family: Bacterial small subunit ribosomal RNA
Source: RNAcentral